UCCAUUUUAUACAUUCAUUUCUAUUUAUUUUUUAUUUCUUUAAAACACUGCACACAUGUGAAUCUCUCUCUCUCUCUUCCCUGUUUCCUUGUUUCUGAAAAACGUAACCACACGCUCUCACCUUGUUGCUCCAUCUCGUCACCGCCGCUGCCUGCCACCUUCAUCGCUUCCGCCGCGUUCUGCUCUCUCUCUCUCUCUCGCUCUCCUCGUUGCAAUCUUUUUCUCACGCUCACACAUAUUGUUAAGGUUGCUUCUUGAGGUUACUUACUUAGCAUGAAUGAUGAAUCCCAAGUUUGAGCACAUAUUGUGGAGCUAAGGUUCAGGACUGUUUACAUAUGCAGGAUAAAUUGCAAGCUGAAAAUACCAUCUCAACUCAUUACUAUUUCUCACUAUGCAAGUUUGACAUCUUCCUCCAAGGCUAAUGAGAAGAUGAAGAAAAUGCAAGCUGAAAUCAAUUCGCUCAAGGACAACACUUCACAAGUUGAUAUAUUGAAGGAGCAAGUUGCAUUUUUAUUGCAAAUGCAAAACUCUAGGGAAAAUCAUGUAAAUUGUUUGUGAUUAUUUUUUACUAAAAAUAUUGACUUUGUGUUAAAUGUGAGUGUGUGUAUGAUAGUAAGAUCAGUAGAUAAAAUUUUAAUUAGGUAUUAAAUGCAUUAUAGGCACUUUAAAGCAUGGUGUUUAGGAUUACCUUAUUUUUUUUAGUAUUUAUUCAAUGUAAUCACAAAACAAGCCCAACCAGGGGUUGCCACUUAUAGUGUUAUUACUUGACAUUAUUAUCAAUACAGAUGUGGGGAGUCAUGUGUGGACAA
Molecule: long non-coding RNA, 809 nt
Organism: Trifolium pratense (red clover)
Lineage: Eukaryota; Viridiplantae; Streptophyta; Magnoliopsida; Fabales; Fabaceae
Exons: 3
Source: RefSeq, a predicted model, not a curated record